UCAGUUACAAUCCAGCAUCUGGGGCACACACAACGAGUAUCUGAUUACUCUCUUAUUUUGCCCCGGGAAGGUCUGAGAAUCGGCCAAGCCAUGUUGUUUCGCUUCGUGCGAGGCUCUAUUUUCUAGCAGGAAACCUGUAUGAUUACAGGGCGAGAGUACCAGAAAUCCUGCCCAGGUGUUGCCGUUGCCCAGCAACCGCCGCCUGAUGGCAUUGAAAACUCUCGUGGCCAGCCUUUUUAGUGCGAUGUGCUUGCUGCCUUCGGGUAGAACUCAAUUCAGACUAAUCUGUGACUGA
Molecule: RNase P RNA, 295 nt
Filed under: Drosophila ananassae
Lineage: Eukaryota; Metazoa; Arthropoda; Insecta; Diptera; Drosophilidae
Description: Nuclear RNase P
Rfam family: Nuclear RNase P
About the family: Ribonuclease P (RNase P) is a ubiquitous endoribonuclease, found in archaea, bacteria and eukarya as well as chloroplasts and mitochondria. Its best characterised activity is the generation of mature 5'-ends of tRNAs by cleaving the 5'-leader elements of precursor-tRNAs. Cellular RNase Ps are ribonucleoproteins.
Source: Rfam by way of RNAcentral